GAUGAACGCUGGUGGCGUGCCUAAUACAUGCAAGUCGAGCGAACGGACGAGAAGCUUGCUUCUCUGAUGUUAGCGGCGGACGGGUGAGUAACACGUGGAUAACCUACCUAUAAGACUGGGAUAACUUCGGGAAACCGGAGCUAGUACCGGAUAAUAUUUUGAACCGCAUGGUUCAAAAGUGAAAGACGGUCUUGCUGUCACUUAUAGAUGGAUCCGCGCUGCAUUAGCUAGUUGGUAAGGUAACGGCUUACCAAGGCAACGAUGCAUAGCCGACCUGAGAGGGUGAUCGGCCACACUGGAACUGAGACACGGUCCAGACUCCUACGGGAGGCAGCAGUAGGGAAUCUUCCGCAAUGGGCGAAAGCCUGACGGAGCAACGCCGCGUGAGUGAUGAAGGUCUUCGGAUCGUAAAACUCUGUUAUUAGGGAAGAACAUAUGUGUAAGUAACUGUGCACAUCUUGACGGUACCUAAUCAGAAAGCCACGGCUAACUACGUG
RNAcentral lists this ribosomal RNA (497 nucleotides) under uncultured bacterium. RNAcentral describes it as "partial 16S ribosomal RNA". It matches the Rfam family "Bacterial small subunit ribosomal RNA", at positions 28 to 507 of the family's 1533-position model. The record is from RNAcentral.